RNAcentral lists this ribosomal RNA (305 nucleotides) under uncultured bacterium. RNAcentral describes it as "partial 16S ribosomal RNA". It matches the Rfam family "Bacterial small subunit ribosomal RNA", at positions 505 to 807 of the family's 1533-position model. The record is from RNAcentral.
ACAGCAGUAGCCACGGUAAUACGGAGGAUCCGAGCGUUAUCCGGAAUUAUUGGGUUUAAAGGGUGCGUAGGCGGAUAGAUAAGUCAGUGGUGAAAGACGGUGGCUCAACCAUCGCAGUGCCGUUGAUACUGUUUAUCUUGAAUAUGGAUGAGGUAGGCGGAAUGUGGCAAGUAGCGGUGAAAUGCAUAGAUAUGCCACAGAACACCGAUUGCGAAGGCAGCUUACCAAGGCAAAAUUGACGCUGAGGCACGAAAGCGUGGGGAUCGAACAGGAUUAGAUACCCGUGUAGUCCCUGUCUCUUAUAC